AGUGAACGCUGGCGGUAGGCCUAACACAUGCAAGUCGAACGGCAGCACAGUAAGAGCUUGCUCUUACGGGUGGCGAGUGGCGGACGGGUGAGGAAUACAUCGGAAUCUACUUUUUCGUGGGGGAUAACGUAGGGAAACUUACGCUAAUACCGCAUACGACCUACGGGUGAAAGCAGGGGAUCUUCGGACCUUGCGCGAUUGAAUGAGCCGAUGUCGGAUUAGCUAGUUGGCGGGGUAAAGGCCCACCAAGGCGACGAUCCGCAGCUGGUCUGAGAGGAUGAUCAGCCACACUGGAACUGAGACACGGUCCAGACUCCUACGGGGGGCAGCAGUGGGGAAUAUUGGACAAUGGGCGCAAGCCUGAUCCAGCCAUACCGCGUGGGUGAAGAAGGCCUUCGGGUUGUAAAGCCCUUUUGUUGGGAAAGAAAAGCAGCAGGUUAAUACCCCGCUGUUCUGACGGUACCCAAAGAAUAAGCACCGGCUAACUUCGUG
Molecule: ribosomal RNA, 492 nt
Filed under: uncultured bacterium
Lineage: Bacteria
Description: partial 16S ribosomal RNA
Rfam family: Bacterial small subunit ribosomal RNA
Source: RNAcentral